ACCCUACUGAUGCCCGCG
Molecule: small nuclear RNA, 18 nt
Filed under: Arabidopsis thaliana (thale cress)
Lineage: Eukaryota; Viridiplantae; Streptophyta; Magnoliopsida; Brassicales; Brassicaceae
Description: snRNA_15691
Source: RNAcentral